UUAGCCGGUGCUUAUUCUGUCGGUAACGUCAAAACAGCAAAGUAUUAAUUUACUGCCCUUCCUCCCAACUUAAAGUGCUUUACAAUCCGAAGACCUUCUUCACACACGCGGCAUGGCUGGAUCAGGCUUUCGCCCAUUGUCCAAUAUUCCCCACUGCUGCCUCCCGUAGGA
This 171-nucleotide ribosomal RNA is filed under the name uncultured bacterium. Its description in RNAcentral is "partial 16S ribosomal RNA". The record is from RNAcentral.